UCCCUCUUCCUCUCCGUGAGGUCUUCUACUCUGUUUUGAUAUUGUGUGUUUUUUACUGAAGCUCACAGGAAGCCCUCCCAGGCAGUGGUUGUGAUCUGAUUCCCUCACUGUUCCCCCGCUGUAUCUUUUUUAGAAAACCAAUUUUCAAGAAGGCUCCCUUCUCUGCUGUGGAAUUUCAUGCUUGUCUUUUUCCUUUUCUCGUGUAUUCAUUGUAUCAGUUGACAAAAGCUCUUCAAAAAAUCUUUCUCCUUUGAUGAAUCUUUGCAGUCUUACUUAAAAGGAAUUUCAGCAAGAAGACCAAGAUCUUUUUUCACUGCCAUCAUGGUUAUCAAACUUACGACUUUGCGUUUUUAUACAUAGUUUCCGAGUUAACAAACUCACUUUUGGUAUAAACUCGGUGGAAUCGGAAGCAAAUUCGGCCAAACUCGAGAGUUUGCAAUCGAAUUUGUGAGUUCAGAUGAGAAAAAUUUUAAACCCAAAGGAAAACUUGCCGAGAAUAGAUUGGCUUCUCGCUGCAUGAUUGAAUGUCUCCUCAGUGCGUCGCUCAUUACUCGUGGUGCCACUGCUUGCGCACCGCCCGUGGUGCCACCAUAGUCGUUCACUUGUAGUUUGUAUCUCUCUUCUCCAUCGCUGGUUUUUUUUCUAGAAAAGGUGAGCUUUUUCUGUUGUCCCCUAGCCAUGUACCGCAUGUCUUCUUUAUUCUAGAAAAGGUGAGUUUGUUCUGUUGUCCCCUGCACAUCAUUUCUUGGAAGAAGUGAAGUAAUUUAGGGGAUUUGAGUUUUUUUUUGGGUCCGCCAGAGGAAUGGAUUUAGGGUAGCUUUUAGGAAAG
This 829-nucleotide long non-coding RNA is filed under the name Vigna radiata. Its description in RNAcentral is "long non-coding RNA (VRAD_LNC007187)". The record is from RNAcentral. Lineage: Eukaryota; Viridiplantae; Streptophyta; Magnoliopsida; Fabales; Fabaceae.